Molecule: RNase P RNA, 347 nt
Filed under: Chloroflexota bacterium
Lineage: Bacteria; Bacillati; Chloroflexota
Description: Chloroflexi bacterium RNase P RNA component class A
Rfam family: Bacterial RNase P class A
About the family: Ribonuclease P (RNase P) is a ubiquitous endoribonuclease, found in archaea, bacteria and eukarya as well as chloroplasts and mitochondria. Its best characterised activity is the generation of mature 5'-ends of tRNAs by cleaving the 5'-leader elements of precursor-tRNAs. Cellular RNase Ps are ribonucleoproteins.
Source: RNAcentral
CGAGCCUGCUGGGCGGUCGCGUCCCGCAAGGCGGGAUGAGGAAAGUCCGGACUCCACAGGGCACGGUGCUGGCUAACGGCCAGGCGGGGUGACCCGACGGAAAGUGCAACAGAAAACAUACCGCCCGCAAGGGUAAGGGUGAAAUGGUGCGGUAAGAGCGCACCGGCGUCGCAGCGAUGCGACGGCCUGGCAAACCCCACCGGGAGCAACGCCAAGACGCGCAGAUGAGGCGGCCCGCUGAUGCGCAGGUAGGCGGCUGGAGGCGCGCAGUAAUGCGCGUCCUAGAGGGAUGAUCGCCUCGGGCCUUGGGGCCUAGACAGAAUCCGGCUUAUAGGCAGGCUCGAGCA